ACCCUUAUAGCUUAACCAUAAAGCAUAACACUGAAAAUGUUAAAAUGAGCCCUAACAAGCUCUAAGAGUA
This 70-nucleotide transfer RNA is filed under the name Odorrana macrotympana. RNAcentral describes it as "tRNA-Phe". It matches the Rfam family "tRNA". Rfam says of the family: Transfer RNA (tRNA) molecules are approximately 80 nucleotides in length. Their secondary structure includes four short double-helical elements and three loops (D, anti-codon, and T loops). Lineage: Eukaryota; Metazoa; Chordata; Amphibia; Anura; Ranidae. The record is from RNAcentral.